CUGGCAUAUGAGUCUAGUGUCUGUGUUAAGAAUUAAAUCAGUUUGCCCCAGUCAAAUGGAGAAAGAAUGGGAGAUGUGUUUCCUUUUCUUCUUCCUCCUUGAUGCAAUUCCUAAGAGACUUGCCUAUGCUUCAACAUGAAAGUGAGGAAGAAGAAUCCCCAAAAGUAUUAAUUUGAACAAUAAUUAUUGCUUAUAGGGAGUGAAGGAAGUUGGAAGUCAGUACAUACUGAGAUUUGGGAAGAGCUCUUCAUGUGGUCAGGUAAUGUAUAAAAAAUUUUGAAUGGUACUAAAUGAACCUGUGCAUGUAGCAUUCCAUGAAGAUAUGACUAUAUGAUACGUGUUACUUGGUAC
RNAcentral lists this long non-coding RNA (351 nucleotides) under Chloebia gouldiae (Gouldian finch). Its description in RNAcentral is "Erythrura gouldiae (Gouldian finch) lncRNA (ENSEGOG00005001322.1)". Lineage: Eukaryota; Metazoa; Chordata; Aves; Passeriformes; Passeridae. The record is from RNAcentral.